UGGCCACAUCACAUUGAAGUACCGGUUCCUGUACGGCCACCGAAGUUAAGCAACGUCCAACCUGGUUAGUACCUAGAUGGGUGACCGCUAGGAAAUGCUAGGUGCUGCAUGC
Non-coding RNA from Acanthosepion pharaonis, 112 nucleotides. The record is from the annotation of a GenBank genome assembly. NCBI's taxonomy places the organism in Eukaryota, Metazoa, Mollusca, Cephalopoda, Sepiida, Sepiidae.